RNAcentral lists this long non-coding RNA (455 nucleotides) under Mus caroli (Ryukyu mouse). Its description in RNAcentral is "lncRNA (MGP_CAROLIEiJ_G0013259.1)". Lineage: Eukaryota; Metazoa; Chordata; Mammalia; Rodentia; Muridae. The record is from RNAcentral.
CGCAGCCCCGAGCCAAAGGGGCGGAAGGUCGCCGAGUGCUGGGAGGGGAGGUGGGGCGGCGACUGAGCGCCGCAGGAGCUGGCUGCAACCGAGACGCGGCCCGGGAGCGUCGGGAAUGGCAAUGUGGACCUCUGAUGGAACAUCUGGUGGGAUCUCACAGUCAGUUCUGUGGCAAAGGAGGAUGAAGACUUAAAGAGGACUCAACAGGAAGCUGGAUAACAGAAAGAGAGCAAUGUGCUAGAAUAGAAGACCAGAAAAUGAAAGAUAUGAAAAAAAGGUGGAGUUUAAGGCUGGAUAUACAGCUUGAAAAGGCUGCGGUGACAAGUGGACAUGCAGUGACUACCUUUUGUACCUUCCUGUUUCUGAGGUGCCUGGAUGGAGGUUCAAAUAGAAGAUAGUGUCAGAUAUACAUUGUGUUGUCAAAAUUUUACCAUUAAAGUGCAUUACAACAUGAA